This 73-nucleotide transfer RNA is filed under the name Raineyella antarctica. It matches the Rfam family "tRNA". From Rfam's summary of the family: Transfer RNA (tRNA) molecules are approximately 80 nucleotides in length. Their secondary structure includes four short double-helical elements and three loops (D, anti-codon, and T loops). Further hydrogen bonds mediate the characteristic L-shaped molecular structure. tRNAs have two regions of fundamental functional importance: the anti-codon, which is responsible for specific mRNA codon recognition, and the 3' end, to which the tRNAs corresponding amino acid is attached (by aminoacyl-tRNA synthetases). tRNAs cope with the degeneracy of the genetic code in two manners: having more than one tRNA (with a specific anti-codon) for a particular amino acid; and 'wobble' base-pairing, i.e. permitting non-standard base-pairing at the 3rd anti-codon position. The record is from Rfam by way of RNAcentral. Lineage: Bacteria; Bacillati; Actinomycetota; Actinomycetes; Propionibacteriales; Propionibacteriaceae.
GGGUCCUUAGCUCAAUCGGCAGAGCAGCGGACUUUUAAUCCGCGGGUUGUGGGUUCGAUUCCCACAGGACCCA